Molecule: ribosomal RNA, 293 nt
Filed under: uncultured bacterium
Lineage: Bacteria
Description: partial 16S ribosomal RNA
Rfam family: Bacterial small subunit ribosomal RNA
Source: RNAcentral
GUGUCAGCAGCCGCGGUAAGACGAACCGUGCGAACGUUAUUCGGAAUCACUGGGCUUAAAGCGCGUGUAGGCGGAGCGGAACGUCGGUCGCUGAAAUCCCCCGGCUUAACCGGGGAACGGGCGCCGAAACGACCGUUCUGGAGGAACGUAGGGGGAGCUGGAACUUCCGGUGGAGCGGUGAAAUGCGUUGAGAUCGGAAGGAACGCCCGUGGCGAAAGCGAGCUCCUGGACGUUUUCUGACGCUGAGACGCGAAAGCCAGGGGAGCGAACGGGAUUAGAUACCCCCGUAGUCC